UCUUUUAAAGGAUAAUAGUUAUCCGUUGGUCUUAGGCUCCAACCCUCCUGGUGCAAAUCCAUGUAAAAGAU
Molecule: transfer RNA, 71 nt
Filed under: Caecilia volcani
Lineage: Eukaryota; Metazoa; Chordata; Amphibia; Gymnophiona; Caeciliidae
Description: tRNA-Leu
Source: RNAcentral